GGCAACUUGUUCGGUUUCUUGUUUUUAUUUGGUGUUUAGAUCGAACUUUAACUUUUAGUUUAUCUUUGUAAAUAAACUUAUCAAGAGAAAAUAAGUUGCUAUUCGUGCAGUUUUAAACAGCGUUUAGGUUAAAGAUGUUUAUUGCAAUUUUAAUAUCUAUACUAUUUUUUUACUUAAUAUUCCAAUAUAAAAAUUACAUCAAUAAAUAUAACGAAAUAAAUAAAAUUCCAGGACCUACAAUAACCGAUAUUAUUAAGCUUUUUUAUAAACCGUCGGAAGGUUUAGUAAAUUUUUUUCAAUCGUUAAAUACAAAAUAUGGCCCAAUUGUUAAAAUAUGGAUUAAACCGAUGCCACCAAUUAUAAUAACAACAGAUUCAGAGUUUAUCGAUAAAAUUUACAAAUCGAAUCAUUAUUCUUGCUGAGAUUAAAUCUUUAUUUAGAAAUGGCUUAUUGAUUACAACAUCAAAAGAGAGUUGGAUGAAUAGUAAACAAAUUAUAUUAAAAAUUUUCACUAAUCAUUUAAUUUGCUAUAAUAAAAAAUAUAACGAAUUUUUCGAUAUGAUUUAUAAGAAUUUAGAAAAAUCGAUUGAUGUAGAUUGAUUCGAUGAUGGAUUCUAAAAUUAAAAUAACACAAGAAGAAAUUAACGAAUCCAUAGAAAAUUGGAUGAAAUAUUUUGAUUUGUUAUUAGGAAAAAUGAAUUCGAUAGGAAUUUUAUAUAAAUUUGCAAAUAAUUAUCGUUCAUUUUUGAGAUGUGC
Molecule: non-coding RNA, 756 nt
Organism: Onthophagus taurus
Lineage: Eukaryota; Metazoa; Arthropoda; Insecta; Coleoptera; Scarabaeidae
Source: RefSeq, a predicted model, not a curated record